GGACUGAUGAUGAGUUCCCCAAUAGGACGAAACGGCCGUCUAGUAC
Molecule: non-coding RNA, 46 nt
Filed under: Schistosoma curassoni
Lineage: Eukaryota; Metazoa; Platyhelminthes; Trematoda; Strigeidida; Schistosomatidae
Source: RNAcentral